Molecule: ribosomal RNA, 715 nt
Filed under: Acarospora fuscata
Lineage: Eukaryota; Fungi; Ascomycota; Lecanoromycetes; Acarosporales; Acarosporaceae
Description: partial large subunit ribosomal RNA
Rfam family: Eukaryotic large subunit ribosomal RNA
Source: RNAcentral
UUGGAAAGAGAGUCAAACAGUACGUGAAAUUGUUGAAAGGGAAGCGCUUGCAACCAGACUUGCCCGCGGGUGAUCAACCGGUAUUCUUACCGGUGCACUCGCCCGUGGUCAGGCCAGCAUCGGUUUGGGUGGCUGGAUAAAGUCCACUGGAAUGUAGCUCCUCUCGGGGAGUGUUAUAGCCAGAGGUGCCAUGCAGCCCGCCCGGACCGAGGACCGCGCUUCGGCUAGGAUGCUGGCGUAAUGGUUGUAAGCGACCCGUCUUGAAACACGGACCAAGGAGUCUAACAUCUAUGCGAGUGUUUGGGUGUCAAACCCAUGCGCGUAAUGAAAGUGAACGGAGGUGGGAACCCUCAAGGGUGCACCAUCGACCGAUCCUGAUGUCUUCGGAUGGAUUUGAGUAAGAGCAUAGCUGUUGGGACCCGAAAGAUGGUGAACUAUGCCUGAAUAGGGUGAAGCCAGAGGAAACUCUGGUGGAGGCUCGCAGCGGUUCUGACGUGCAAAUCGAUCGUCAAAUUUGGGUAUAGGGGCGAAAGACUAAUCGAACCAUCUGCUACUAGAUGGCAUACGGGCCGCGUGCCCCAGUAGUCCCCGUGCGGCGGGGGCAACAUCGUCGGUCUCUUCGGGAACGCCUCCGGGCUACCCGCAGUGAGCCUCGGGCUCAUCCACAGACUAAGUGGCGGUGGCCGUGCCCUGGAGCACAGUUAGGAUAUAGUCG